AGUCGAGCGGUAACAGGAAUUAGCUUGCUAAUUUGCUGACGAGCGGCGGACGGGUGAGUAACGCGUAGGAAUCUGCCUGGUAGUGGGGGACAACAUGUGGAAACGCAUGCUAAUACCGCAUACGCCCUACGGGGGAAAGGAGGGGAUCUUCGGACCUUUCGCUAUCAGAUGAGCCUGCGUGAGAUUAGCUAGUUGGUGGGGUAAAGGCUCACCAAGGCGACGAUCUCUAGCUGGUCUGAGAGGAUGAUCAGCCACACUGGGACUGAGACACGGUCCGGACUCCUACGGGAGGCAGCAGUGGGGAAUAUUGCACAAUGGGCGCAAGCCUGAUGCAGCCAUGCCGCGUGUGUGAAGAAGGCCUUCGGGUUGUAAAGCACUUUCAGUAGGGAGGAAAGGUGCAAGAUUAAUACUCUUGUGCUGUGACGUUACCUACAGAAGAAGCACCGGCUAACUCCGUGCCAGCAGCCGCGGUAAUACGGAGGGUGCAAGCGUUAAUCGGAAUUACUGGGCGUAAAGCGCGCGUAGGCGGCUUGUUAAGCCAGAUGUGAAAGCCCCGGGCUUAACCUGGGAACUGCAUUUGGAACUGGCAGGCUAGAGUACAGAAGAGGGUGGCGGAAUUUCCUGUGUAGCGGUGAAAUGCGUAGAUAUAGGA
This 652-nucleotide ribosomal RNA is filed under the name uncultured Oceanospirillales bacterium. RNAcentral describes it as "bacterial SSU rRNA". It matches the Rfam family "Bacterial small subunit ribosomal RNA", at positions 60 to 701 of the family's 1533-position model. Lineage: Bacteria; Pseudomonadati; Pseudomonadota; Gammaproteobacteria; Oceanospirillales. The record is from RNAcentral.